UGGGUUGCUAACUCAAUGGUAGAGUACUUGGCUUUUAACCAAUUAGUUUCGGGUUCGAGUCCCGAGUAACCCAU
Molecule: transfer RNA, 74 nt
Filed under: Kuetzingia canaliculata
Lineage: Eukaryota; Rhodophyta; Florideophyceae; Ceramiales; Rhodomelaceae
Description: tRNA-Lys
Rfam family: tRNA
About the family: Transfer RNA (tRNA) molecules are approximately 80 nucleotides in length. Their secondary structure includes four short double-helical elements and three loops (D, anti-codon, and T loops).
Source: RNAcentral